ACCUUCUCAGGAUCACAGCUGGAGGGUUUCCAGUACUCUACCAGUCUUGGCUCUAGGAGGGAGAGUCAAGCAGAGGCCUAGCCAUUCCAUUCCUGGCUUGGAUAGUGGCUAGCGAGUGAAAGGCAAUCAGCUACAAGU
Molecule: small nucleolar RNA, 138 nt
Organism: Ornithorhynchus anatinus (platypus)
Lineage: Eukaryota; Metazoa; Chordata; Mammalia; Monotremata; Ornithorhynchidae
Source: RefSeq, a predicted model, not a curated record